Unclassified non-coding RNA from Chelonoidis abingdonii (Abingdon island giant tortoise), 180 nucleotides. NCBI's taxonomy places the organism in Eukaryota, Metazoa, Chordata, Testudines, Testudinidae. The record is from Ensembl.
UUAACAGCCUUGGACACUGAAGCCCUCUAUUUAUCUACAGAACAGGUACAGCCGGGGCAGCAGCAGUGCUAGCUUCCACUACAGUUCCCCCACCAACGUGCCUCAACCCUGACCUGGAGGAACCACCUCUAGAGGUGAGAGGGGAAUUGAGUCUCCAUGUCCAUUCAAUCCUUGGCCUCU